AGAGUUUGAUUCUGGCUCAGGAUGAACGCUGGCGGCGUGCUUAACACAUGCAAGUCGAACGAGAGAAGAUUGGUGCUUGCACUGAUCCGAUCGAGUGGCGGACGGGUGAGUAACGCGUGGGUAACCUGCCUCAUACAGGGGAAUAACAGUUGGAAACGGCUGCUAAAACCGCAUAAGCGCACGGUAUCGCAUGAUACAGUGUGAAAAACUCCGGUGGUAUGAGAUGGACCCGCGUCUGAUUAGCUAGUUGGUGAGGUAACGGCCCACCAAGGCAACGAUCAGUAGCCGGCCUGAGAGGGUGAACGGCCACAUUGGGACUGAGACACGGCCCAAACUCCUACGGGAGGCAGCAGUGGGGAAUAUUGCACAAUGGGGGAAACCCUGAUGCAGCGACGCCGCGUGAGUGAUGAAGUAUUUCGGUAUGUAAAGCUCUAUCAGCAGGGAAGAUAAUGACGGUACCUGACUAAGAAGCACCGGCUAAAUACGUGCCAGCAGCCGCGGUAAUACGUAUGGUGCAAGCGUUAUCCGGAUUUACUGGGUGUAAAGGGUGCGUAGGUGGUGAGACAAGUCUGAAGUGAAAAUCCGGGGCUUAACCCCGGAACUGCUUUGGAAACUGCCUGACUAGAGUACAGGAGAGGUAAGUGGAAUUCCUAGUGUAGCGGUGAAAUGCGUAGAUAUUAGGAGGAACACCAGUGGCGAAGGCGACUUACUGGACUGCUACUGACACUGAGGCACGAAAGCGUGGGGAGCAAACAAAAUUAGAUACCCUGGUAGUCCACGCCGUAAAC
This 788-nucleotide ribosomal RNA is filed under the name uncultured bacterium. Its description in RNAcentral is "bacterial SSU rRNA". It matches the Rfam family "Bacterial small subunit ribosomal RNA", at positions 8 to 807 of the family's 1533-position model. The record is from RNAcentral.